AAAAAACGCACAUAAUUUCAAAGGGCAUUAGUGGAAUAAACAAUUUUUUUUAACUUGAAUUUUGCAAAGAUGGUUGCCUCGUUUUACAAGUGCAGAAGCU
This is a long non-coding RNA of Neogale vison (American mink), 100 nucleotides long. RefSeq lists it as uncharacterized. NCBI's taxonomy places the organism in Eukaryota, Metazoa, Chordata, Mammalia, Carnivora, Mustelidae. The transcript is spliced from 3 exons. The record is from RefSeq and is a predicted model, not a curated record.